AGAAUCUAAGCUCCUUCCAUUUGUUCCACAAGAAAGUAAGUACUGUUCUUGAGUAUAUUACCUAUGAUAUCAAUUUUUACAAUUAGGAGGGUAUUCAGCCCAUUACAGCUUAUGUGAAAAAUUUAAGCCAAAAAAUUACCAAACAAUAUAAAACAAGCAAAGCAUAAAAAGUGACCAAAUAUUACAAUUUAAUCCAAGGUAGAAGAAAAAGAUCCAGACACUUCAAAUAUCAUUGAGGUACAUUUAUUUAGAGCAAAGUAUUCCAGCACUGUUUCAACCCUGCACUGCAUCUUUGGGUUUUUGACAAAUACACACUAUAGGGUCGAAACGUUGAUGGGAUACUUUGUUCUAAAUAAAUGUGCUUCACUGAGCUUUGAAGUGCCUGGACCUGUUUCUUCUACCCUGGAUUAAACAGUUUGGGGUUUUGUGCUAGCCCCUGGCCUGGUUGCACCCAAUUUUUGCUCAAAUGAAAUGAGUGCAGUUCCUUUUGAAUGUUGUUUGUAUCCAAGUAAUACAACUUGACCAAACAAUAUAAUUUUAAUUUCCUUCUUUAUGUAAUUCAAAUUCUACUCUUAAGUAACAUGGUGAUGAUGAGUGGGCAGUAAAGAUUGAGCGGGUAGACAUGAGAAAAAUUAAGAGUGAAUUUGAAUGCUUUAAAUUGUAAGUGUGCUUCGUCAGGGUGCUCGAUAAUCUCUAGUUUCCUGUUAACAUUUGUAAUAAGUUUUAUCUUAUUGGCUGUAAUAGUCUUACAUAAUAAUUCGGGAUUAUUCUAGCUUUAGUGACUGAAUAAUCUAAAUUUUAUUAAAGACAGGAGGCAAAUAUUUGCUUUUACCUUCUUUACUGAACCUACCAGCAGCAAAGAAAUAGUUAAACAUUUAGAGAAAAAAUCAACCAAUCAGGACACAUAUUAGAACAUAACAGUCUGUCAGGCUCCUCCCAAAUCCUCUUUCUGAUGCAGCCGAUCAUAAGUGUAGUCAACCGUGUAAACUUGAGUAAUCCAUCAACCAUGUAAACCAGAACGCAGCCGAUACUAGAGACCAAUGUAACGUAGUCUUCGUGGCUCAUGCAGAGAAACUUCACACUAAAAGACAAAGAAAGAUCAGUCACUUGGACUGGGUGUCCGCAAGAUAUCUACAUACACAGAUCUACCCCCUGGAUAUUACGAGUAUAAACUAUUGCAAAAUCUAAAACAGUCAGAUAUAUAAAGUCUCACAAGAAACCUAGAAAGAGUAUAUGUUACCUGAAAAAAAAUCUGGGGUGGGAUACCAAAAGGGUGGGAAAAUAUUUGCCUCCUGUCUUUAAUAAAAUUUAGAUUAUUCAGUCACUAAAGCUAGAAUAAUCCUGAAUUUUAUGGCAAGACAGGAGGCUUCAUAUUUGCUGUUUUAAAGUGUGGAAAGAAAAGAGAAAAAAGCAUGGGACGAUUGUCGAAAAUAAAAGGUACGGAAAGUAGAUUCUCUAGACCAAUCAGCGCAUUUUAGGAUGUCUGCAAGGGAUCCCCCAGCCAUAAAGGCACCUCUGACAGAAUGAGCUCCAAAAGAGGAAUCUAUGCACGCUAAAUCGAGAAGCCAUUUAAUCCAGCGGGCAAUCGUGGGACAAGACACUGGCUUGUGUGGUUGCACAUAUGAGAUAAACAGGGGUACGUAGAAGUGAUGUAGAGGCGACGUAGUGUUGGACACAACGAGCAAUGCAGAGCGAUGGUCUGUCAGAAAAAUAAGGGUAAGUAAUCGUUAAGGAAUUAGUUUUAGUGCGGCGAGAAAUGUUGAAACGUAGUGUGAAAGUCAAAUGCCUGAAUAUCAGACACUCUUCUAAAAGAAACUAAGCAGAGAAGAAGAGCUAAUUUGGCUGACAGUUGUCAUAGAGAGUGUGCUUCGUUGGGUGGCCAAGUCUCCAGGAAGGACAAAACAAGAGCAACAUCCCAAAAAUGAGAAUAUUUUGGGACAGGAGGUCGAGCAAGACGAAUGCCACGCAACAGUCUACAGAUGGAGGGGUGUUUACCUAUUGCUGUAUUAUCAAUGGGGCCAUGAGCUGCCGAAAUUGCUGAACUAAACACAUUAAUGGAUCUGUAGGAUUUACCUUGAUCAAAAAGAGAGGACAGAAAGUUCAUAACGUUAAUCAAAGAAGAUGAAACGGGAUCAAUACCACUUUCCAAGCACCAGCGAUUCCAAACUCGCCAGGCUGAGAGCUAAGAGCGUCUAAUCACGGGGGCCCAUGAGUCCCAAAAGAGUUCUCUAGCAGUCUCUGAAAGUCCUGUGGCAUUCCAGGUUCCCCUGAAACAGUCCAGGCCACUAGCUGGAGAUGACCCUGCAACGCAAGAGGGUGAAAGUUGCCUGCGGGAUCUUUGAGAAGAUCGUGCGUGGCAGGUAGCAGUAGUGGAUAAUCCACCGACAUCUCCAAGAGAUUGGGGAACCAUGGUUGGGUACGCCACAAAGGGGUCAGCAGUGUUAUUGUAGUCCCCUGAGUCCUGAGAUGAUGGAGAGUGCGAAGGAUCAUGGAGAACGGAGGGAAGGCAUAAGCUCCGGUCAUUGGCCAAGAUUGAAGGAAGUCGUCUACUGCCAGAGAGGUCGGAUCCGACAACCAACUGAAAAAAGCAUCCGUCUGUCGAUUCAGACGAGACGCAAAUAGGUCGAGGUUGAAUGGACCCCGAAGAAGAUGUAGACGGUAAAAAACGUGUGGGUCCAAUUGUCGCUGGAGUCUCUCCAGUGUCGAGAGAACCAAUCUGCGACUAAGUUGUCGGAACCAGGUAGAUACUCUGCUCGAAGGGAGAUGUUUCUGUCUAGACAAAAUUGGUAUAAUUCUUUUUUGAGGUCUGAGAGCAUUUUGGAACGGGAUCCCCCUAGGCAAGUCACGUAUUGAACAGCUGAGAUGUUGUCCAUUCUCAGCACUAGGGAACAAUUGUAAGAGUCCUUUGCGAAACUGUGAAUCGCAAAGGAACAGGCAAUCAACUCGAGGUAAUUGAUGUGCAAUGCCCGUUCUGAUGGGGACCAAGGACCUCCGGUAGAGAGAUUUGCGCAUGAUGCACCACAGCCCAGAAAACUGGCGUCUGAUUCUAGGAUGUAAUCUGACUGCGAUCCGAAGAUCGUUCUCCCGUUCCAUGCAUCCAUAUGGUGUAGCCACCAAUUCAGUUCUAGUCGGACUUUGUCUGUCAAGGAGAUCUGUUGAUCGUAAGAUGCAGAGUGACGUAAAGAGCGAGUCUUCAGACAUUGCAUUGCUCCGUAAUGUAAAGGAGCUGGGAAGGUCGCCUGAAUCGAGGUGGAGAGUAGUCUGAUUAUGCGAGCUAAGUUGCGAAGACGGAUAGUCGAAGAGGCUAGAAUUUUUCUGAUGUCUUUUUUGAUGUUCUUGAUCUUUACUGAAGGAAGUUGUAGGAUAGCCAAAAUGGAAUCUAUUUGGAAUCGAAGGAAUUGAAGCAUCUGAGACGGGGUGAGGACGGAUUUUUGGACAUUGAUCACGAACCCCAAGUUUUUUAACAGAGCUGUGGUCAUGUCUGUAUGGAGGCGUAGAGUGCCUGGGUCCUGAGCCAUAAGGAGGAUAUCGUCCAGAUAUAUGAUGAAGCGAAUCCCCUGAGAGCGUAGCAAGGCCAUGACCGGUUUCAUCAGCUUGGUGAAACACCAAGGUGCGGAACAGAGUCCGAAGGGGAGGCAUGAGAACUGCCAUAAGUCUUGAUGCCAUCUGAACUGUAGGAAACAGUUAUAGGAACUGUGAGGUAAGCAUAACAGGUGUUAUAGGAACCAUGAGGUAAGCAUCUGUCAAAUCCAAACGGGAGAACCAGUCUCCCUCGCAGAGUAGGUCUCAAAGAAGGUGGAUACCCUCCAUUUUGAAAUGUUGGUAAACAAUAAAAUUGCUUAGGUCUUUCAGGUUGAUAACUGGUCAAAAGUCUCCUGACUGUUUUCAGACCAGAAAUAUGUUGCUUAUGAGUCUGUGAGGGGACAGAGAACGUUCUAUAGCGCCGUUGGUGACAAGGUCGUUUAGCGUGGCCUCCAAGGUCGCAUUGUCCUCUUGAGACAUGUACAGAGGUGGAGGGGGAGACUCCUGUAGAGGGUCAUUUGCAAAAUCUAUAUGGAAACCAGAUACAGUUUGAAAGAUCCAUGGAUCCUGAGUUAAUAGAGACCACUGUUGGAAAAAAAGGCCUGCAAUAGGAACUUGAGUUGAUUACCUGAAGCAGUGCGGCCCUGGAGGGAAGCAUAUCCACGUCCUCUGGUGGAACGUCUAGAGGGAAAGAACUGCUUGUGGUAGAAACGGGUAUUGCCUGAAUUCCAUGAGUCUGCUGGUUGAGGCCUGUAUGCUGUUUGUGCCCAUUAACGCACCAUGUGUGCAUCAAAAUUGCCACCUGCUAGCGCCUCGCCAGCGAUUAUAAAAAUCUGGAUAAGCGAGCUUGCUAUAUCCAUCAGCUUGUCUUGGGUGGCUUUUUUUUUUUUUUAAUUCAAGGUUUUUAUUGUUUUCAAGUUAUAACAAAAAGAAAGGGGGGGUUAUUGGGGUACAGAAAGGAAGAAAGGUGGGGGGUGGGGUGGGAGGGUGACAGGGUCUUAGGACCAGUCAUAGUUACAUAUAGUUACAUAGUUACAUAGCUGAAAAGAGACUUGCGUCCAUCAAGUUCAGCCUUCCUCAGAAAUGUUGUUGCUGUUGAUCCAAAAGAAGGCAAAAAACCUGGUCUGAAGCACUUCCAAUUUUGCCACAAACUAGGAAAAAAAUUCCUUCUUGACCCCAAAAUAGCAGUCAGAUGUCUCCUUGGAUCAAUCAGCUAUUACCCCACUAAUUAGAAAUUAUAUCCCUGUAUGUUAUGUUUUUGUAAGUAUUUAUCCAAUUUCAGUUUAAACAUCUGUAUGGACUCUGACAAAACCACCUCUUCAGGCAGAGAAUUCCAUAUCCUUAUUGUUCUUACUGUAAAAAAACCUUUUCUUUGCCUUAGAUGAAAUCUCCUUUCUUCCAGCCUAAAUGUGUGACCUCGUGUCCUAUGUAUAACCCUGUUUAUGAAUAGAUUUCCAGAUAAAGGUUUGUACUGGCCCCGAAUAUAUUUGUAUAAAGUUAUCAUAUCCCCUCUCAGGCGCCGUUUUUCCAAACUAAACAGAUUUAAUUUUUGUAACCUUUCUUCAUAACUAAAAUGCUCCAUUCCUUUUAUCAAUUUUGUAGCUCGUCUCUGGACCCUCUCCAGUGCCAUGAUAUCCUUCUUUAGAACAGGCGCCCAAAAUUGCACAGCAUAUUCAAGGUGUGGUCUUACCAGCGAUUUAUACAGAGGCAAAAUUAUAUUUUCAUCCCGAGAAUUUAUGCCCCUAUUUAUACAUGACAAAAUCUUACUGGCCUUAGCAACUGCAGAUUGACAUUGCAUAUUGCUGCCUAAUUUGUUGUCUAUAACAAUGCCCAAAUCCUUCUCGUGUGUGGUUAUCCCCUAAUUCACUACCAUUUAGUGUGUAAGUUGCUUGUGCAUUCUUAACCCCGAAGUGCAUAACUUUGCAUUUCUCUAUGUUAAAUUUAAUCUGCCAUUUUAGUGCCCAGUACCCCAAUCUAUCCAAAUCUCUCUGCAACAAAGCAAUAUCCUGCUCACAUUUAUUACUUUACAAAGUUUUGUGUCAUCUGCAAACACUGAUACAUGGCUUUCAAUGCCUAUUUCAAGAUCAUUUAUAAAUAUGUUAAAUAGAAGUGGUCCCAAAACAGAACCCUGAGGGACACCACUUGCCACUUUUGUCCAGCCUGAAAAUUUACCAUUAAUGACAACUCGUUGUACUCUGUCCUUAAGCCAAUGUUCUACCCAAGAACAGGAAUAUUCAUCAAGACCAAUUUCUUUUAGUUUGAAAACUAACCUAUUGUGAGGAACCGUAUCAAAUGCCUUGGCAAAGUCCAAGUAGAUCACAUCCACUGCAACACCCUGAUCUAUACUUCUACUUACUUCUUCGUAGAAUGCAGUCGUCCACGUUCUCAUCGUUAUGACAGUACAUUAUUUUUGUCAUGGAAUUACUUGACCAUCGUAUUAUACAUUACAAGCAAAAGACAGAACGAGGUUGUGUUUACAGUUGACAGUUUACAGCGUUUGCCUUAAUUUUUACAUAUCAUUCGGGGUAGGGUACAGUAAGGGAGAGCUUGGGUGUCUUGGGUGGCUUUUAAGCCAACUUUGAUUCCUUUGCGGGGAUCUUUACCCGUCUUAGUUAGAAAAGUGACCAGGAGUGGGUCAAGUUCAGGGGUGACAGCCACCUUAUCAGGGAUUAUAGGCCGUGGACAUUCUGCUUUUAAUUUGGCUCUAAUCUCCUUUUCUAAAGGUUUACAAAGCCAUAAUCUGCAAUAUUUGCCAAUGUGAUCAGGGGGUGUCCAUUCUGCUGAAACGAGGGUGUCUGAUGCAGCGUGGGUCAAAUAGAGAACAACCAUUGGUAUCCAGUAGGAUAUCGUCCUUAGUACUGUCUAAAUUAGUAGUGGACAUAGGAUCACUACUGGUUGUGGGGUAGGAGAAAAGUCUCCGUAACAAAUUCAGAAGAGGAAAGGUCACCUGGGAGAUCCUCAUCUAGAUAUGCAUUGUAUUCGUCUAUCACUCAAAAGUGAUAGCCAGAGGUUGAACCCUUUAAGGGGUCAGAUUCUGAAGUCAAAGUGAGUUGGCAUGAGACAAUUUAGCUGUCUUUGCUGGGGCUUUGCCUUUGCCAGCAGAAGCACUGUUACCCUUCCAAGGGCGCUUACGUGGGGCUUCGUCAUGGUCAGAGACCCUGGAAUCAUGCGAGUCUGACAAUUGCGUGAUGGUGGCAGUAGUGGCUGUCUGGUCACGAAACGUUGCCAAGGCUUUGGGGAUAGAGUCUGCAAUUGCAGCUUGAAGCCAGGCUUUUAAUUCUGCUGACAGUGCAGGUUCUGGUUGGUCCGACAUGAUGACCAGUAAAAUCGUAGUGGGUUCACCACAGAAUCAGUAUACCAACUUUUUUAUUUAUUAUUUAUUUAUUUAUUAUUUAUUAUUUAUUAUUAUAAUUUAUAUAUAUAUAUAUAUAUAUAUAUAUAUAUAUAUAAAUAUAAACAAACUUGUCACAAACAAAGUAAAAGCAGGGGCUGACUUAUUGGGGUUCACCCAGACAAUAUGCAGUCACCUUUACGGGGACUCAGUGGGGUUCAUCCACAAUUAUGGCAGUUAAACUGUCAAUAUAAUAAUGACAGGGUUAACCUGUGCAAUCAAUAAAAAUAUAUAUAAGGGGUUCACCCUGAGAGAUAAGGCACGAGGGGGUCACCCUCAAUAAAGAGGCACAAGGGGAUUACCCUCAAUAAAAGAGGCAAGAGGGGGUCAACAACAAGCAGGGGGCAAUGAAUACUCAUAGUUUAACAGAGCUGCAAUCCAGUAACAGAGAGCAGUUCCUGAAAAGCGCGCGAACGGGAAAUUUAACCGCCGAACAGAAGAUGGUCGCCGGCAAGAAGGAGGAAGGCGGGAAAACUGCGUGUCAAUCAAUGACACGAAAAAAACGGACGGUACAGAAAUAGAUCGCGGGCAUGAUCAAAACGGACCGCAGCCACUGCAGUGGCACGGUCUGAAGAUAAUUUCAUCAAGGAAAAAGAUUAGUAAGGUUUUACUUUAGUCAGAGAUAAAUAAAGUCACAGGGAAGGAACUGGACAGUGGGCUGACCUGAGAAGGGUCGUUGUGAUAAAGGGCAGAGAUAAAAUAAACACACACAUUACCUUAUGUGAGUAAAACUGACAGGGAAAGUUAAUUAAAGGAGUCAAAAAAAUCUAUGGAAAAACAAAAUAAGGCUCACCUGGGAGGCAAGCAGCAAAGAAAGAGGAAGUGGGAGGAGCCUGACAGACUGUUAUGUUCUAAGAUGUGUCCUGAUUGGUUGAUUUUUUCUCUAUAUGUUUAACUAUUUCUUUGCUGCUGGGAGGUUCAGUAAAGAAGGUUAAAGCAAAUAUGAAGCCUCCUGUCUUGCCAUAAAAUUAAAGUGAGAUGCUUCAAAAGAAAGAGGCAUAGCAGAUGGAAUACAAGUUGCUGAGUGGGAGACAGGACACUGGAAGAGGAGUUGGGAUAAGAGACAUUUGGCAUGAUAAAAUAAUAGCGGAAAGAAGUUGGAAUGGGAAAAUGUAACAAAGAAAUGGGAACUGAAGUUAGAGCAUUUCAGAAAAAGAGGGGACUUAUUGAAUAUAGAGGUAAAAAAACAGGAAUACAAGCUGGGAUCAGAGAAGUUUAGGAAUUUGCAGUAGACGUUUGAUAGAUGGUAAGGGCUACCAUAGAAGAAUAAAAGCUGGAGUGAUAAAUUAGACUGGGUGGCGGUAAUAAAUAUUUACCAAAUUGCUCUGCUGUGUGUAGAUAUUCCAAUCAAUAUGAAAAAUGUAAAAUUUAAUUAAGGAUGGCUUCACACUUUUGAAGUCAACUUCGCAAGAUAUAAAAUUGCAGUAUAAUUACAAGAAAACAAAUAAGUGCAUACAGCAAUAACAUUUAUAUAGCAAGUUGUUGUGAAGAUAUACAUUGCUUGAACUGUACUUUUUUAUUUUAUAUAUUCUUAUAUUCUCUUUUUAUACUGUCUUAUAUAUGCUAAAUUAAGCUGUUGCACCAAACUAUUUGUAUAGCAAAGAAACUUAGCAGAUCUAGAGCUAGAUUAUUUAGUUUUUUUUUGUUUUUUUUUGAUCAUUUUAAUUAAAAUUUUCUUUUUCAUGGUUUCAGGAACGGUCAUUGAAAUUCUUAGUAAAAAAAUUACACCACCGCAGAUUAUACCGAAAUCCACCAUAGCUUCAACAACUACACUGAUGCCCAGAACCUCUAAACCCUCCAAGCAACAACCCAAGACAUUACCAAAAUCUUCUAAAACUAAAUCUUCAUUACUGAAAACUGCUACAAAGAAACCCACGACUACUAAAAAACCUAAGCCACCAUCUAAGAUAUUGAAAUCGUCUACAAAGAAACCGAGGACUAGUAAGAAACCCAAGCUGCCACCUAAGAUACU
This 8885-nucleotide long non-coding RNA is filed under the name Pelobates cultripes (western spadefoot toad). Lineage: Eukaryota; Metazoa; Chordata; Amphibia; Anura; Pelobatidae. The record is from RNAcentral.